GUCCUCGUAGCUUAGCGGUUUGAGCAUUCGGCUGUUAACCGAAAGGUCGGCGGUUCGAAUCCGCCCGAGGACG
This 73-nucleotide transfer RNA is filed under the name Candidatus Woesearchaeota archaeon. RNAcentral's name for it is "tRNA-Asn". It matches the Rfam family "tRNA". Rfam says of the family: Transfer RNA (tRNA) molecules are approximately 80 nucleotides in length. Their secondary structure includes four short double-helical elements and three loops (D, anti-codon, and T loops). Lineage: Archaea; Nanobdellati; Candidatus Woesearchaeota. The record is from RNAcentral.